Molecule: long non-coding RNA, 1041 nt
Organism: Prosopis cineraria
Lineage: Eukaryota; Viridiplantae; Streptophyta; Magnoliopsida; Fabales; Fabaceae
Exons: 4
Source: RefSeq, a predicted model, not a curated record
ACCAAGGAUUGGCUACAAACCACACAAAUUAGUUUAUACAUCAGGUACUUUCUCAAUUUUAUUACUUAUUGUGGUAUUUAUUUAAUUUUAGUUGUGAAUGAUUCUAUUUGUUUUCAUUUUAGGUACUUAUAUCAUACUUUUGUGGUGCCGGGCUCAUUGAUAACAAAAUUUUCAUUUAUUAGCCCGCACAACACUAGUACCUACAGUGUUGAGUACCAUUCUCAAAAGAUUACUGAUGCAUUCAAAGCCAAAGGCAAAAGAAACAUGUUAUUUUUAGCUCCUCACAAUCCAGGGCAACAUUGGGUGCUUGUUUGUAUCAAUCCAUUCGUCCCUGUGAUUUAUUAUCUUGAUUCAUUAAGAGAUAGUGACUUUAAGAACUACAAAUCUAUGAGAAUAUUAUUUAAUCAGUAAGUUUUUAGUUCUAUAUUCUUUAUAUAUGUUUAUUAUAACAAUUAAUUUUUACUUGGUAUGCUUAAUCAUUAUAUAAUAGGGCUGUAGCACGUUAUCGAGGAGGUGAAGGUCUCCCUCCAAACACCAAAAGACCUGAUCCUGUUGAGUUUUAUUCAUGGAAAAGAAUAAAGGUACCUACACAAUUACAAGGUUGGGAGUGUGGAUACUAUGUUAUGAAGUUUAUGAGAGAAGUAAUCACACAACAAGAGUUGAUCAUUCCUGAAAAUUAUUUUGUUGGAGCAAGAUAUUCGCAUUUUACUAUGGAGCAAAUAGAAGAUUUAGUUGAAGAAUGGUCAGAAUAUAUUAUUGGCUGUUUGUGAUAGGAAGUUAGAUUUCAAUGUUAAAAAAAUAACAAUAGUUUCAUUUGUUAGGCUUGUUAGAAAUUAAACUAGGUUAGUUAGAAAAUUGAAAUUGUUGUAUCAGUUUCAAAUUCUUUUCUUGUAUAUAAAUUUUUAUGUUGAUAUUAUUUUUAAAUUAGUUUUUGAUAUUAUGAUUUGCCAUUGUUAAAGAUAUGUAAAAGGAGAAAUUUGAAAAAUUUGAUUUAAAAAAAAUUAAAUAUAAUAUACGGGAGCGCUCAUUUAAAGAGCGCUC